NAAACCCCCUCGCCGGAAGACCAAGGGUUCCUGUCCAACGUUAAUCGGGGCAGGGUAAGUCGACCCCUAAGGCGAGGCUGAAAAGCGUAGUCGAUGGGAAACGGGUUAAUAUUCCCGUACUUCUUAUAAUUGCGAUGGGGGGACGGAGAAGGCUAGGUGGGCUUGGCGACGGUCGUCCAAGUUCAAGUGCGUAGGCUAAGAGUUUAGGUAAAUCCGGACUCUUGUUAGGCUGAGACACGAUGUCGAGCACCUACGGGUGUGAAGCCAUUGAUGCCAUGCUUCCAGGAAAAGCCUCUAAGCUUCAGAUUAUAAGAAAUCGUACCCCAAACCGACACAGGUGGUCGAGUAGAGAAUACUAAGGCGCUUGAGAGAACUCGGGUGAAGGAACUAGGCAAAAUGGUACCGUAACUUCGGGAGAAGGUACGCUCCUAGCGGUGAUGAGACUUGCUCUCUAAGCUGCCGGGAGUCGCAGAUACCAGGUGGCUGCAACUGUUUAUUAAAAACAUAGCACUGUGCUAAAUCGUAAGAUGACGUAUACGGUGUGACGCCUGCCCGGUGCUUGAAGGUUAAUUGAUGGGGUUAGACUUCGGUCGAAGCUCUUGAUCGAAGCCCAAGUAAACGGCGGCCGUAACUAUAACGGUCCUAAGGUAGCGAAAUUCCUUGUCGGGUAAGUUCCGACCUGCACGAAUGGCGUAAUGAUGGCCACGCUGUCUCCACCCGAGACUCAGUGAAAUUGAAAUCGCUGUGAAGAUGCAGUGUACCCGCGGCUAGACGGAAAGACCCCGUGAACCUUUACUACAGCUUGGCACUGAACAUUGACCCUACAUGUGUAGGAUAGGUGGGAGCCUUUGAAACCAGUACGCUAGUAUUGGUGGAGGCAAUCUUGAAAUACCACCCUUGUAUGCUUGAUGUUCUAACGUUGGCCCCUUAUCGGGGUUGCGGACAGUGCCUGGUGGGUAGUUUGACUGGGGCGGUCUCCUCCCAAAGAGUAACGGAGGAGCACGAAGGUGGGCUAAACACGGUUGGACAUCGUGUGGUUAGUGCAAUGGCAUAAGCCCGCUUGACUGCGAGAAUGACAAUUCGAGCAGGUGCGAAAGCAGGUCAUAGUGAUCCGGUGGUUCUGAAUGGAAGGGCCAUCGCUCAACGGAUAAAAGGUACUCCGGGGAUAACAGGCUGAUACCGCCCAAGAGUUCAUAUCGACGGCGGUGUUUGGCACCUCGAUGUCGGCUCAUCACAUCCUGGGGCUGAAGUCGGUCCCAAGGGUAUGGCUGUUCGCCAUUUAAAGUGGUACGCGAGCUGGGUUUAGAACGUCGUGAGACAGUUCGGUCCCUAUCUGCCGUGGGCGUUGGAUGAUUGAAAGGGGCUGCUCCUAGUACGAGAGGACCGGAGUGGACGAACCUCUGGUGUUCGGGUUGUUACGCCAGUAGCAUUGCCCGGUAGCUAAGUUCGGGAUCGAUAAACGCUGAAAGCAUCUAAGCGUGAAGCGAGCCUUGAGAUGAGUCAUCCCUGAUACUUUAAGUAUCCUAAAGGGUUGUUGGAGACUACGACGUAGAUAGGCAGGGUGUGUAAGUGCUGCGAGGCAUUGAGCUAACCUGUACUAAUUGCCCGUGAGGCUUAACCA
RNAcentral lists this ribosomal RNA (1621 nucleotides) under Aliivibrio sifiae. RNAcentral's name for it is "23S ribosomal RNA". It matches the Rfam family "Bacterial large subunit ribosomal RNA", at positions 1325 to 2925 of the family's 2925-position model. Lineage: Bacteria; Pseudomonadati; Pseudomonadota; Gammaproteobacteria; Vibrionales; Vibrionaceae. The record is from RNAcentral.